RNAcentral lists this unclassified non-coding RNA (160 nucleotides) under Neofavolus alveolaris. Its description in RNAcentral is "partial ITS2". The record is from RNAcentral. Lineage: Eukaryota; Fungi; Basidiomycota; Agaricomycetes; Polyporales; Polyporaceae.
CAACUUAUAAGCCUUUCAUGGGGUCUAUAAGCUUGGACUUGGAGGCCUGUCGGCGGUCAACGUCGGCUCCUCUCAAAUGUAUUAGCUUGGUUCCUUGCGGAUCGGCUCCCGGUGUGAUAAUGUCUACGCUGUGACCGUGAAGCGUUUGGCGAGCUUCUAA